GAUGAACGCUGGCGGCGUGCCUAAUACAUGCAAGUCGAGCGAACGGACGAGAAGCUUGCUUUUCUGAUGUUAGCGGCGGACGGGUGAGUAACACGUGGAUAACCUACCUAUAAGACUGGGAUAACUUCGGGAAACCGGAGCUAAUACCGGAUAAUAUUUUGAACCGCAUGGUUCAAAAGUGAAAGACGGUCUUGCUGUCCCUUAUAGAUGGAUCCGCGCUGCAUUAGCUAGUUGGUAAGGUAACGUCUUACCAAGGCAACGAUGCAUAGCCGACCUGAGAGGGUGAUCGGCCACACUGGAACUGAGACACGGUCCAGACUCCUACGGGAGGCAGCAGUAGGGAAUCUUCCGCAAUGGGCGAAAGCCUGGCGGAGCAACGCCGCGUGAGUGAUGAAGGUCUUCGGAUCGUAAAACUCUGUUAUUAGGGAAGAACAUAUGUGUAAGUAACUGUGCACAUCUUGACGGUACCUAAUCAGAAAGCCACGGCUAACUACGUG
RNAcentral lists this ribosomal RNA (497 nucleotides) under uncultured bacterium. RNAcentral describes it as "partial 16S ribosomal RNA". It matches the Rfam family "Bacterial small subunit ribosomal RNA", at positions 28 to 507 of the family's 1533-position model. The record is from RNAcentral.